RNAcentral lists this ribosomal RNA (734 nucleotides) under uncultured bacterium. Its description in RNAcentral is "bacterial SSU rRNA". It matches the Rfam family "Bacterial small subunit ribosomal RNA", at positions 34 to 763 of the family's 1533-position model. The record is from RNAcentral.
CGCUGGCGGCAGGCCUAACACAUGCAAGUCGAGCGGUAGAGAGAAGCUUGCUUCUCUUGAGAGCGGCGGACGGGUGAGUAAUGCCUAGGAAUCUGCCUGGUAGUGGGGGAUAACGUUCGGAAACGGACGCUAAUACCGCAUACGUCCUACGGGAGAAAGCAGGGGACCUUCGGGCCUUGCGCUAUCAGAUGAGCCUAGGUCGGAUUAGCUAGUUGGUGAGGUAAUGGCCCACCAAGGCGACGAUCCGUAACUGGUCUGAGAGGAUGAUCAGUCACACUGGAACUGAGACACGGUCCAGACUCCUACGGGAGGCAGCAGUGGGGAAUAUUGGACAAUGGGCGAAAGCCUGAUCCAGCCAUGCCGCGUGUGUGAAGAAGGUCUUCGGAUUGUAAAGCACUUUAAGUUGGGAGGAAGGGUUGUAGAUUAAUACUCUGCAAUUUUGACGUUACCGACAGAAUAAGCACCGGCUAACUCUGUGCCAGCAGCCGCGGUAAUACAGAGGGUGCAAGCGUUAAUCGGAAUUACUGGGCGUAAAGCGCGCGUAGGUGGUUUGUUAAGUUGGAUGUGAAAUCCCCGGGCUCAACCUGGGAACUGCAUUCAAAACUGACUGACUAGAGUAUGGUAGAGGGUGGUGGAAUUUCCUGUGUAGCGGUGAAAUGCGUAGAUAUAGGAAGGAACACCAGUGGCGAAGGCGACCACCUGGACUAAUACUGACACUGAGGUGCGAAAGCGUG